Molecule: long non-coding RNA, 446 nt
Organism: Paramisgurnus dabryanus
Lineage: Eukaryota; Metazoa; Chordata; Actinopteri; Cypriniformes; Cobitidae
Source: RefSeq, a predicted model, not a curated record
CCAUGACCCUGUUACACAAAACAAGUUAAAAGACAUACAAGGCUGACAGGAUCAUGACACCGAGUUCACAUCACAAACUGAAUGCGAGAUGGUGUCCAUUGUGCAGGAGUAUGUAGAGGUUGUGUGUUGUCUCGUGAGCAGUCAGAACAUCAGCAACAACAAAAUCUUCUUGCAAAGCAACAUCAGUAUUGCAUUAGAUCAUCUGGUUCCCACCUGUUGUUGGUCCAGUUCUGACGGGUCUUGGACCGGAUCUCUCUGUGAGCCUGAUUCAGCUCUCUAGUGCCAUCUGUGGGCUGAUCUGUGCAGUACAGCUUAAAUCACAAGACAAUAACAAGGUCAUAAGGCUUGUCAAGCAGGUCAGACUCCCACACGGAUGUGUUUUAUAUAAGUCAGUGUGAUAGACAUGCUUUACAAUAUGUUGUCAUCUUCAGGCACGACACACGACA